CGGGAGGCCGCCGACGGGGACGCCGUCACUGGCGUGGUCUUGCGCAGUGGUCGUCGUCUCUCUCCUCGCCGGCGCUUCCUUAGUUCACAACAUUUACAAGCCCGAUCUUGUUAACCUUGCCGCCAGUGAGUGAUGAAGGAGAGACAAAGAAAGGGCAAGAUGAAUGAUCACAAGCCUGGAGCUUUAUUCAAUGACGUUCAAAAGUAUCAUCAGAGUUUGAUGGUUGAUUAGAAUGAACUUGCAACAAAUAACACUGAAUUGUUUAAAGGAGGAGAAGAAGAAACAAAGUGAAAGCCAAGAUUGUGACAAGAAAAUAGCAGAAACUUCUGAUUAAAUGACACCAAGAUAGCAGUCUUUUCUUUUGCCAAAUGUGAUUGAUGUACCAAACUUGUUAUUCAGAACCAAUUAACAAAGAGUCUUGUGCUUUGGUGGCAUCAAUGUCUUGCCUCUUAUUUCUUUUCCAAUUGGAAAAAACCUGUGCUUCUAUCUUCUAAUUUUCAUACUAUUAGUGUCAUAAAAGUAUUCAUUA
Long non-coding RNA from Dioscorea cayenensis subsp. rotundata (Guinea yam), 529 nucleotides. RefSeq lists it as uncharacterized. The transcript is spliced from 3 exons. NCBI's taxonomy places the organism in Eukaryota, Viridiplantae, Streptophyta, Magnoliopsida, Dioscoreales, Dioscoreaceae. The record is from RefSeq and is a predicted model, not a curated record.